CGAAUGCUGACAUAAGUAACGAUAAAGCGGGUGAAAAGCCCGCUCGCCGGAAGACCAAGGGUUCCUGUCCAACGUUAAUCGGGGCAGGGUGAGUCGACCCCUAAGGCGAGGCCGAAAGGCGUAGUCGAUGGGAAACAGGUUAAUAUUCCUGUACUUGGUGUUACUGCGAAGGGGGGACGGAGAAGGCUAUGUUGGCCGGGCGACGGUUGUCCCGGUUUAAGCGUGUAGGCUGGUUUUCCAGGCAAAUCCGGAAAAUCAAGGCUGAGGCGUGAUGACGAGGCACUACGGUGCUGAAGCAACAAAUGCCCUGCUUCCAGGAAAAGCCUCUAAGCAUCAGGUAACAUCAAAUCGUACCCCAAACCGACACAGGUGGUCAGGUAGAGAAUACCAAGGCGCUUGAGAGAACUCGGGUGAAGGAACUAGGCAAAAUGGUGCCGUAACUUCGGGAGAAGGCACGC
RNAcentral lists this ribosomal RNA (458 nucleotides) under Escherichia coli. Its description in RNAcentral is "bacterial LSU rRNA". It matches the Rfam family "Bacterial large subunit ribosomal RNA", at positions 1291 to 1751 of the family's 2925-position model. RNAcentral also lists the same sequence under 2 other names. Lineage: Bacteria; Pseudomonadati; Pseudomonadota; Gammaproteobacteria; Enterobacterales; Enterobacteriaceae. The record is from RNAcentral.